UCGUGCCGGCAGCCUCUCACUCUGCCCUAACUAUGAGCUCACAAACCGCCAUCCUGAAGGAUCCCCCUGCAGAGAAACUUCCCGGCCAGCUCCACCCAGAAGAGAGAGCAGAUGGAAAAUUGGAGCAAGCCCUCAUCUUGGGUCAGGGAAGAAAAGAUUCUUUUUUUCCCCUUCUCUCUAAAAAUAUGCUCAGGGCUUUUUUGAGCCUUGAUGCAAUAGAAACCAGCUGUGGCCCAGAACGCCCCCGCAGCCACUGCCCAGGGAAAAGGAAAACAGAAACAGCCAUUGGAGGCGGGAUCAAUGCCUGUGUUUGGGCUCCAGGCCCAGCCUCUAGCCACCUCUGGCCUGGAAUUGUGUCCCAAAUGGGCACCAAACAGUCCCUGUUUAUUCGUCCUGUUGUGGGCUCAGGGCCCCAGGAGUCACUUAGCCCUUCCUCUUUCAAUUCUUGGCGCAGAGGAUGAGAAGAUGACAAGAAGUGGGCGUUUCUUAAACUCUGCACCCAGGCCUGCUGCUUCCUGGACCAACUCUUCCAUGGCCCUGGGUGUCACCCAGUGUUUCUGGAGCCUCUGAGUGGUGCCCGCUGCCUGGCAGCAGCCCCUGGAGGUAGGCACUUCCUGGCAUCAUGGCAGAUCUGGCAUCCUCUUGCCCUGGGCUUCUCGCAGUCUUGCAACCCACGUUCCCCAGCCAGCACGGAAUUCCCCUUUCUCUGCCUCUGAGUGCACCCCUCCUUUCUGCCUUGCUUGCUUUCCUGUCUUACCUUGCUUUUGGUCCUGAUACCCUCUCUACCUUCCUCUGUAGUAUCUCUGAGACCCACAGCAACCUGAUGUCCCAGAGAAAUAAUACUAAUAACAAUAACAACAUCACCGACGAUGUUUUCAGUACAUUGUAUAAGCGCUGUCGGUGCCAGCAGCUGUGCGAAAUGCUUUGCACUCACUAUCUCCUUUAAUCCUCACAAUAAGCCUAAGAAGUAGCUAAUUAUGCAGAUUCCUGACAAAAAACACAUGGCCCAGUUGAAGGAUGCAAUUCUGUGGGUGUCAUUGUGUGUUGGAAUUCCCUGGGGCGUAUCAGAUACUCCUGCUGCCUGUAUCCUACUCCCAGGGGUUGUGGUUUAAUGGCUCUGGGGAGUGGCCUGGGAUUGGGAAUUUUUAAGAGAUCCCAGAACAUUCUAAUAUGCACACAGGUUUGGGAACCACCAGUUUUCCUGAAGAGAGUUUAAUGAAGGGACUUUAAAAAAGUUUUAUUGAGGUAUAAUUGGCACACAAUAAACUGCACAUAUUCAAAACAUACAAUUUGAUGAUAAGUUUUUAAAAACCAUCUUAACCAUUUUAAGUGUAUCAUUCCACAGUAUAUUUUUAAGUAUAUUCAUAUAUAAGUAUAUUCAUAUUGUUUGAGGAUCUCCAGACCUUUUUCAUCCUGUAAAACCAAGACCGUACCCAUUAAACAACUCCCCGUUUCCCCUCCCCCAGCCCCUGGCAACCACCAUUCUACUUUCUGUCUCUGUGACUUUGAUGACUCCAGGUACCUCGUAGAAGAGGAAUCACACAGGCCGGGCACAGUGACCACACCCAUAAUCCCAGCACUUUGGGAGGCCGAGGUAGGUGGAUCACCUGAGGUCAGGAGUUCGAGACCAGCCUGGCCAACAUGGCGAAACCCCAUCUCUACUAAAAAGACAAAAAAAAAUUUAGCUGGACAUAGUGGCGCACGUCUAUAAUCCCAGCUACUCGGGUGGCUGAGGCAUAGAAUCGCUUGACCUAGGAGGCGGAGGUUGCAGUGAGCUGAGAUCAUGCCACUGCACUCCAGCCUGGGUAAUAGAGCAAGACUCCAUCUCAAAAAACAAACAAAAAAAAAAGGAAGUGGAAUUACACGAAUGUCUUUUUGUGACUGACUGAUUUCACUAGCAUAAGGUCCUUGAGGUUCAUCCUUGUCGCAUAUGGCAGGAUUUCCUCCCUUUUUAAGGCUGAACAAUAUUCCGUUGUAUGUAUGUACCACAUUUUCUUUAUCCAUUCAUCUGUCCAUGAGCAUUGAGGUGACUUCCAUCUCUUGGCUAUUGUGAAUAAUGCUGCUAUGAACACGGGGUUCCAGGCAUCUCUUUGAGACCUUGCUGUUAAUUAUUUUGAAUAUAUAUGCCCAGAAUUGGGAUUGCUGGGUCAUGUGGUAAUUCUAUUUUUAGUUUUUUGAGGAACCACUCUACUGUUUUCUAUAUCAGCCACACCAUUCUACAAUCCCACCCACAGCGCACAAGGGUUCCAAUUUCCCCACAUCCUCGCCAACACUUGCUAUUUUGUUUCUUGGAUAGUAGCCAUCCUCAUGGGUGUGAAGUACUAGCUCAUUAUGAACUUGAUUUGCAUUUCUCUAAUGAUGAAUGGUGCUGAGCAUCUUUUCAUGUGCUUGUCGGCUGUUUGUAAAUCAUCUUUGGAGAAAUAAUGAAAGGACCUGGUAGGGGAUGAUGAUGCACCAGAGACUAGUGAAAGCAGCACGUUGUAACCACCUCUAGCUCUGUGGGCCAGAGGAGAGCACUGGGUACCAGAAUCACAGAUCAGGAGCUGUGGAAGGCGCUGCCCGACAGGAUGGGGGACCCUGGGAGAGGGAUGCAGCCACAUCCAAACUGUGGCCCAGAAGAGGGAGUGGGAAAAGUCCUCGACCUCUCUGUCUUCCUGCUGUCUUCCAAUAUCCUACCUGGGUGAGGUCAGCCUCCUGGGGAUCAGAGCAGGGCAGGGAGGGGUGAGAAUGAAUCCACUGGUGGUGGGGGCAAGGGGCAAAUAGAAUCACCCAAAAAAGAGGUAUAUGUUGCUGACUCCAUUUUACAGUCGGGGAAACUGAGAGUCAUGUUUGGCACAGUUUAGAGGGACUUGGACCAAGAUUUGGACUUUGCUCUAGGUGAUGCCAGCCUGAUUAUUCUAACCUGUAAGCUACACCACCUUCUGGCAGUGGGCAGUGCCCAAUGGGGGAGGGUGCGGGGGCAGUGCCCUUCCCGCCAGAUGCCACCCCUCCCUUGAGCUUGGUCGAGGGUGAUCUGCCUUCUCCUUCCUUCCUCUUCCAUUUAGAAAGCAACGGGUCUGAAAGGUAAUUCUGUUCUUGAUGAGGGUGCAGGCAGCAGAGGGAAUUGUCAUCCUGCUGAAGACACACAGCUCUUCCAUGCUCUACCCUAUGUGUAAUUUGUUCUUAUCUGCUCCUGGAGCCACCACCUGCUACAGUGUAAAGAGACCCCACAGACUCUCUGGAUCAAACUACUCACUGUCCAGAAGGAGAAAAUGAGGUCCUAUGUCUGUGGCUAGAACCCAGGCCUCUGGGGAGCAACCCAGGGCUCCAUCCAGGGUGACCUGAGCCUGCUCUGCUCAUCAGAGCCAGUCUUUACCACCCUUCAUAUCCCGGGAGCCCACAGGUAGAAAGAUGGGCAUUGCAGGUCACCGUGGUUCCCCCACUGAAGCAAGUUCCCUGGCUCGCGAUUAGCCAGUGCUCUGCUGGUUCAUGAUGCGCUCCAAAUGCUAGACCAAGAAAGAAACUGGGUCGGUGGGCAGGACACAGGACCAGCGCUCUGGGAGGAGAGCUGUUCUCAAGCAGUUUGGUGGCAUCAGAGCCUCUGUGUGGUCAGUCAAGCAGGGCAGCCAAUUUCCUCUCCUUUCAGCCCUAACUCUGGACUCCUGUACCUGGAGGGGCUCCCUUUGUGCUCCUGCAGCCCAGAAGCCCUCCGAGGCUUGACAUGAAAGAGUCGCGGGAUCUUGGACUGUUCCGGUGGAAGGGCUCCUAGCAAAACCCAGAUGUUUUCUCUUCUUGUAUGGAUGGGAGGACCGAAGUCCAGAGAAGUGGAAUAACUUGCCCAGGGUUGUGCUGAGAUUUGUGAAGGUGCCGGAUGCUGGUGUGCUGGUGGCUGGCAUGCUCUGAGCCCUUCCUUCCCGCUGUUUCCCUGGAGUUCUGCUUGGCAACCACCCGCCUGCAUUUUUGCAAAGUGAUGUCAUCUGCAGAUAAUGGUUUUUCCGUUCCUGGUGGAGCAGGAGUUCCAGAUACAGUGCUUCGGGGGAGGGGCUCAAGAGAGCUGAUUGUGCACUCCUCAGGCAAGUGGGGGCUGCAUAGACCCCCUCCCCUCUGACAGUCACAUCUCAGUUGUAAGGCAAGGCACCGUCUCAGGCUUCCUGGACUCCGGAACCUGGAAUGACCAAAAUGGCAGAGGCCCCAGAGACAAGCCUCCCCUGCCUCCUCCUUGUAGAGUUGGGAAUCUGAGGCCCAGAGAGGGCAGAGCCUUGCCCAAGCUCACACAGCAUUUACAGGCAAAACCUUGACUCACAUCCCGACUCCUAACAUCUGUGGCCACUUGCCCGUGGUUGGGGGUUUUUCACCCUCAACACCGUUGACAUUUUGGGCCAAGGAGUUUUGUUGUGGGGGCAGUCCCUUUCAUGGCAGGAUGUUUGGCAGCAUCCCUGGCCUCGACCUCCUACAGGCCAGUAGCACCCCUCUCCAGUUCUCAAAUCCAGACACUGCCAAAUGUCUUUCACCUAAGUUGGGGUGGGAGAAAGUAACCCUCCAGCUCCUAAGACCUUUAUCCACUGCCAUAGGCAGGAGAGGUUUCUUGAGUCCAAGCCCAAAGGGUGCUUUGUCUGAGGCUCUGACUUAACGUCAGGCACCUUCAGGAUGGGAGGCAGGCCUGGAGGGGGCUAUGAGGGGCUGGAGAUGGUCCAGGCCCUCCUUCUGGUUAGGAACACUGCUUCCUCUGAUCACUUUUCUUGGAGCAAAACUGCCGAUUUAUUUUCCUGGGGAAAUAAAAAUAAAUGCUGGCUGUUGUAAUCUCAUCCCUGAUCCCAUCUGGAAAAAGCAGGCUCAUGAAUCUUGGCCGCCUGAGCUCUGAGGACUGUGUCUGGCGGAACCUGGAGUUACAAUGGGCCUUCGAACAUCGGAACAGUCACGGCUGACAUUUCCUUUCCCGUUACAUGGCUCCUUGGAAUGUGAGCCCCAGGGGGCCGUCCGUGGGCAGGCGGAAUUUGGUGGAAAGAAGUGCUGCACGGGCCGGAGGCCAGCUCAGCUUCUGACUUGCUGUGUGACUUUGGGCCACUUUUCUGUUCGUUUCUGGGCCUUGAUUUCUCCAUCUGCAGAAUGAGGGGAGCCACGUUCCUCAACAAGGGGUCCAUGGACCACCUUGUAUCAGAACCAUUUAGGGAAUGUGUUUAUGGCUAUUCCUGAUAUUUCUGAUUCCUCUUCCAGACCUCCUAAAGUUUUUAUGCAUCUCUAAGUGAUUUCGAUAUAUAUAAGUUUUGGGACCCACAACACCAAGGACUUUGAACUUUCCACCCAGUUUCAAGUUUGAACACAUCACAGUUCUUCAGCCUCCUUCCCCCUCAUAACGAAGUGUAGAGUUAUGAAGCUAGAGGGUAAAAUUAUGGGGUGGGCUGGAACUGGGCAUUGCUCCUAACAAUUAUCUGCUUUCAAACUCUUGGCAGGGUCUCUGGGGUCCUUGAUCCAACUGAAAUCACUGUUAAAGCACUUUAUUCCUCCAGUAAUGAAACUCGAGCUGCUAGUUACAGAGUUUGGUUUCAAAAUUGUGCCAUUUAUUAUUUUUGUUGGAUUGGCUUAUAAACCCUCAUAUAGUCAUACAUCAUUUAUAAUGCAUUAUUCCAUGAGAAUGCAUUUUCCAGAUGAGAUUUAUUUUUUCUGUUAAAAACUUAAAACUGUUCUUUUUUUUUUUUUAAAUGGCAGUCUUUCGCCAUGUGUUACCUAUUUAUACCACCUUAAGUGAAGGUCAGGAAAUGCAAUUUUACUUAUUCUCAAUGCUCCAGGGUUGUCAUUGUGAGUUUUAACUACUGUAUGCAUUGAUGUAAAUUUUAGGGACUCCAAAACUCACUGUGCCUGAACUAUGAAUGUCCCCCAAGCUGCUUAGCCCUUGUGUCUGCUUUUAAAAGUUCUGCUUUGCUUCUAUAUUUUUAAAGAUUUCUUCCUCAUGAGAUAUCAGCAGUUACUUCUCACCACGUUAUCAUGACUCCUUUGGAUGAAAAACCAAUAACCAGUGUGUAUCAGGAUUGUCUGUAGUGUAAGAGUUCAUAAUCAAUGAAUGAGAGGACUCUCUGAUGAGUCAGGGAUGUGGAUUUUUGACAUUUGUUUUGGCAGCUGAGAAUAAGGGGUAGUUUUUUUCUUUCUAAUUUUCACCCCAAUAGCAGCUGCUUUCUGAGAGUUUUCUAGAUAAAUGUGAAAUGAGUGUAGAUCGAUUUUUCCAUGUAACUAAUUUACAUUCUGGGUGAACUCAUUUUGCUUCUGACUUAGAGGUGCUUUCAUUUCCUUCUCAUCUGCACCCUGUUCUUGGAGAAGCUGCUCCACCCCUAGCCCAUGAUACAUGAUGCAUGACCCAGCCCACUGGGCCCCCUGAUGCCACCUGGGCCAAUCAGAUUUUCCAGUCAGGAAAUUUGCAAUUGAGAUUCAGAGCUGGAAAGAGUCACCUGCUCUGAUGGGAGCUGCAUUUGUGGACUGUGACUCAGAGGCUGAGGCCCCAGGGAGCCGACCCCAUGGGCCCUGGGCAAGCCCAGAGUGAAUGUGGAAGCCGGGCUGUGGAGGUUCCCUGAGCAGACAGUCCGGGUGUGUGUGCGUGUGUUUGUCUGUGUGUGUGCGCACAUGCUGGAGGAUGGGGCAGAACGUAGGGUCCCAAGCCCCUGAGGGAGGGGCUUGUCCUAAUCAAGUCACAGAAAUCAGGGCAGGGAGAGCAUGAAAGAGUCUUGUUCCCCUCUCUGCAUUUGGGAGAUUCAGGCCCCGGGGAGAGGAGAGACUGACCCAUGAUCAUCCAGAGGGGACUUGGUUAAGCUGGUCCUGAGCUCUGCCAUGCAUGUUCUGUUUUCCUACCCUGGCAGCUGGCUCAGAGCAUGGAUAGGCCUUGUCUCUCUUUUCUUUCUUUCUGCCAAAUUCUUUUCUGUUGGGAAUCUGAACAGCGGGUAGAUGCAGUCAUGGCAUGAUUUGCUCCAAAUAUCUCCCCAACAGGUGGUCACGGUGUCUACAAUUCCAUCACCAGAUCUUCCAUUUCCAGGAGUAACCCUGGGCAGGUGUAUACCAUGUGUCUUGUUUACAGUGGGGAUUAAUAGUUCAAGGAGCCCAAGGUAAGGAAACCCAUAUUUGAUGAAUCUCCAGACAAUUUAUACCCACCACACAGCCUUAUGAAGAUAGCCCAAUCACGCCUAUUUUACAGAGGGGAAAACUGAAGUUCUGAGAGGUGAGCUGACUUGCCCAAGGUCACAUAGCACGUCAAAAUCGGGGCUCACAUCUGCAUCCAGAGUCCAGGCUCUUUGCCCUAAAGCAAGCUCAUCUGAUCUGGGAGCUGGGGAUAGGCUGAGGAGGCGAGCGGGUGACAAAAUGAACUUGUCCCAUGGAGUCAUUCAGUGGGAAAAGUUGUGGUUUGGGAAUUAGGGCCAAAUGGCUCCUUAACCUUGGGCAUCAUGGUGGGCCUCAAUUUCCUUACCUCUGCAGGAGGGAAGGACCGGAUGUACUCUGCAAUCCCAGAAAACUCAAUGGGCUGAGGCAGGAGGACCUACUGGCCAUUGAAGACUGUCCACUCCUGGUCCAGAUUCCAAGUGACCAGGCAGAAAGAGCAUGGACUUUGGAGUUUGAUUGCCUGGCUUUAAAUCCCCCUGCUCCACUCGCUACUGUGGUGUGGACUCAAACUUGAGGUACAGUCAUCCUAUGAAGGAUCAGAGCUGGAAAGUGGGGGCCUGGCUCAGGGAGCAGCAGAACCAGAGCAGAAGCUGAGCUGGAGAUGCCCUGAUGGGGCCGAGGUGGAGGCUCAGGCCUGGGAUGGGCAGUUGGACCAGCAGGUCCAAAACAGCAGAAGCCAAGGCAGGCAGCGGUCUUGGAGAUGCCCUCUGACCUGCCGUGGACUGGAGCCUCUAAGAUGCUUCCUCCUGAGGCUGGAGCUGAUGACUGGCAUCCUUGGGAUGUAACCUGCGUGCAGCCGGCAGAUUCAACAAAUAUUCAUGCUGGAAUGGGAUGCAGAAGUCACCUACUUUCAGAGAUGGGGAAACUGAGACCCAGAGAGGGCACAGCCUUUUCUCGGGGGCCUCCAGUGACUCAGAGUCAAAUCUGUGCUUCUUGGCUCCUGGAUCUCUGAGCUGCACCCACUGGACCCCUAUGCCAACCCCAGCACCCCUGUUCUCCAUGGCGGCCCCGCCCUGAGGAUUUCCUAUGCCUUUCUACAGAGCUUUCUCCUUCUCCUAGAUCCCUUUUCUGCAAAACGAGGCUGGGGAGUUCUGAGCCAAGCCCAGGCCCACGUGCCUGGAACCAGAGACAGCGUAAGGAGCAGACACUGCCAGGUCACUUGCAGCAGACUCCAGGAGGAAAUGAGGGAAACAGAACCUCAGCCGUAGCCUAGCCAGGGCUCUCAGAGCCUAGAAAGCUCUUAGGAGAAGUGGAGAGUUGUUCAGAUCCAGGCUAAUUUGUCAUCUCCAGCCCUUCUCUGGUGAUCAGCUUGCCUCUUCCUCUACCUGCCCCUAUAGGUAGAGGAAGCUUGCCCUUCCUCUCCUGCAUCUUCUCCUCCCCUUUCUGUCACAUGCCUUCUGCUUCUUGAGGCCUCUGCCUCAUUGUAGUUUCUCUUGCUGUCCAGUUCCGGUGAGCUCAUGGCUUCUGUAGCCCAGUUUCUCUUUGCUUCCCUUUGUGAAUCUUUCCUGCUUCGACUCUCACUCCCAACUUCUUAACUUACACUCAAUGCUCCCAGAGGGAGGACUUGAUUGGUUUGGAAGUCCCCCACCAGGACAGGCCAAGGAUUAAGUGAGUUCUUAUAUGAGGUCUCUGAUUCCCUAACUCCAGCUAGGUGUUCAAUUAUUCAGUUCAAUUCUGACACCAACUCCAGGAGUUAGUGCAGACCCCAAGGUUUAGGGCUCAGCCCCACAGGGCUGUCCCCCUUUAGCCACCAGUCACACACAAGUCCAGGGACCAUCUGUACAUCUGACUGCCUGGCUCUGAAUUUCAGGGUUCCCAUAACCUCCCCUUCUAGUUAGAUCAUUCACUAGAACAAUUCACAAAACUCAGCAAGUGCUUUACUUACUAUUACCAGUGGAUUAUAAAGGAUACUACUCAAGAACAGACUCAUGGAAGAGAUGCAGGGAACAAAACAUGGGGGAUUUGCACAAAGCUUCCACGCCCUCCCAGCGAGUCCCUGUGUUCACCAGCCCUGAAGCUCCCAAACCCUGUUGUUUAGGGGUUUUUCUUGCAGUUUCAUUAUGAUGGAUUAAAUCAUUGGCCAUUGGCGAUUGAAUUCAAUCUCCAGCCCAUCUUACCCCCAUGGAGGCUGUAGGGGGUGUGGGGGUAACCAGCCCUCAUCAUGAAGCUCUCUAGGGCUCCUCCAUAAGUCAUCUCAUUAGCAUAUGAAAGGCAAUACGUUCAGGGGUUUUAGGAGCUCUGUGCCAGGAAUUAGAGACCAAGACCAAAUAUUUAUAUUUUAUACCACACCAGGCCACUUCUCAGCCCACUGGCCAACUUCAAGAUUGACUGCUGUUAGGUCACAAUACCCACUUGGCCAGGGGUAGAGAUCACUCAGUAUCAUGUGUGGUGUAAGCUGUUGAGAUUAGGCAUAGACAGUGGCAGGUGACUGACGGGCUGGACAACUGACAGAUGCUCACCUUGGCCAGUGUAGGCACAGAUAGGGCAGGACCCCAUUUGUUUAAGUGUUCCAUCCUCAGAAAUCCCCUCUCCCCCACUUCUUCCUUCUCUUCAUUCCUUCUUUGCUAUUUUUAAAUGGCACAUUGGAAAUAAAACAAUUGUCAAUGUAUUCAGCCCUCCCGCAGCGGGCUGCCAAUCAGCACAGUCCAGCCUACCUCCGCUUCCAUUCCCUCCACCUUAGCCCUCACCUCCCUCUUUGCUCUUGCCCCCGUCUCCGGGCACUCAGGUCUCUGUUAGUUUCUCAACAGCUUUGCAUAUGCUGUUCCCUCUAUUUGGAAUGCUCUUCCCCAUCUCCCACCCCUGGCUGGCUUUUCCUGGCCACCCACUCUGAAUGAUGCGCUCCUCUUACAUAUGUGCCCUGUGUGUUUCUUUACUGAUACUUGUCAGCCUGCUGAUCGACUUAUUUGCACAAACAUUUAAUAAAUCACUGGACCGUCUGCUGUAGGCGGGCAGAGAUCAGA
Long non-coding RNA from Homo sapiens (human), 10079 nucleotides. RefSeq lists it as uncharacterized. Lineage: Eukaryota; Metazoa; Chordata; Mammalia; Primates; Hominidae. The record is from RefSeq and is a predicted model, not a curated record. The transcript is spliced from 4 exons.